CCCACAGGGGUGCUGGAACAGCUACGGUCCAUGGUGGAAGACUCUGAGGACGCCGCUCCAGGGCUACAGCCUGUAUAGUCCAUGCCCUCGUCUGUCUCGGCAUCCAUUAGGCUCGGGGGACCCUGGAAGAAAGGAGAGGGGCCCUAAGUUCUGGACUGUCUCAGCUGUCUACGGAGGGCCCAGACUGGAGGUGACAGCAACCUCCAGGAACUCCAAAGGCCCCUACCACCGUGAGCACAUGACCAGGAGAGGCCUGCCCGGUAGACACCACAUCUAUCCACCCGCCCUUACCUAUCUUCCAGCUUCCGGUCCAUUCCUAGGAAAACUCUGCCCCACAUCUGCAGGUCUAUAGAAGCUUGCCCUGGGCCUAAAUUUGCCUCUGCCUGUGGGCCUGAGGCUCUUCUCUAUAGGGCCAGAGCAGGAAGGUAUCCGAGAGGCAUCGAAAGACACCCGCUGCCAAGCUCAGAAGCACCCAGAGACUCCGUCUCUCGCACAUCACAUACCUCAGUUUUUGUAAGCAUGUGCUAAAGGCUUUACAAAGUAAAUAAAUAACUGAAAUGGC
Molecule: long non-coding RNA, 562 nt
Filed under: Mus spretus (western wild mouse)
Lineage: Eukaryota; Metazoa; Chordata; Mammalia; Rodentia; Muridae
Description: predicted gene 13205 (ENSMSPG00010036202.1)
Source: RNAcentral